CCUACGGGGUGCUGCAGUGAGGAAUAUUGGUCAAUGGGCGCAAGCCUGAACCAGCCAAGUCGCGUGAGGGAUGACGGUCCUAUGGAUUGUAAACCUCUUUUGUCGGGGAGCAAGGCCCGCCACGUGUGGCGGGAAGGAGAGUACCCGAAGAAAAAGCAUCGGCUAACUCCGUGCCAGCAGCCGCGGUAAUACGGAGGAUGCGAGCGUUAUCCGGAUUUAUUGGGUUUAAAGGGUGCGUAGGCGGAAGGUUAAGUCAGCGGUAAAAUGUCGGUGCUCAACACCGGCCUGCCGUUGAAACUGGUCUUCUUGAGUGAGCGAGAAGUAUGCGGAAUGCGUGGUGUAGCGGUGAAAUGCAUAGAUAUCACGCAGAAAUCCGAUUGCGAAGGCAGCAUACCGGCGCUCAACUGACGCUGAGGCACGAAAGCGUGGGGAUCGAACAGGAUUAGAUACCCUAGUAGUC
RNAcentral lists this ribosomal RNA (460 nucleotides) under uncultured bacterium. Its description in RNAcentral is "partial 16S ribosomal RNA". It matches the Rfam family "Bacterial small subunit ribosomal RNA", at positions 338 to 795 of the family's 1533-position model. The record is from RNAcentral.